CCUACGGGAGGCAGCAGUGGGGAAUAUUGCACAAUGGGCGAAAGCCUGAUGCAGCGACGCCGCGUGGAGGAUGAAGGCCUUCGGGUUGUAAACUCCUUUUGUAAGGAACGAUGAUGACGGUACCUUACGAAUAAGCCACGGCUAACCCUGUGCCAGCAGCCGCGGUAAU
This 169-nucleotide ribosomal RNA is filed under the name uncultured bacterium. RNAcentral describes it as "partial 16S ribosomal RNA". It matches the Rfam family "Bacterial small subunit ribosomal RNA", at positions 338 to 524 of the family's 1533-position model. The record is from RNAcentral.